UACGAAGGGGGCUAGCGUUGUUCGGAAUCACUGGGCGUAAAGGGCGCGUAGGCGGCCUGAUAAGUCGGGGGUGAAAGCCUGUGGCUCAACCACAGAAUUGCCUUCGAUACUGUCGGGCUUGAGACCGGAAGAGGUAAGUGGAACUGCGAGUGUAGAGGUGAAAUUCGUAGAUAUUCGCAAGAACACCUGAGGUGAAGACGGGUUGCUGGGCUGACACUGACGCUGAGGCGCGACAGCGUGGGGAGCAAACAGG
Molecule: ribosomal RNA, 253 nt
Filed under: uncultured bacterium
Lineage: Bacteria
Description: partial 16S ribosomal RNA
Rfam family: Bacterial small subunit ribosomal RNA
Source: RNAcentral